UAUUUUGUGAACGACGGAUUUCGGAGCUUCAAUUAAGACAGUACCGUAGCUUAUUCACGGCGACUGUACCACUCCGAUUGCGCUUCAGCGACGUCGUUUUAGAGGGAGUCAACGUCUCUCAAAUGAUUCAAAAGAGAGAAGACACUUGAAGAAAAAGAAACGAAAA
Long non-coding RNA from Hibiscus syriacus, 166 nucleotides. RefSeq lists it as uncharacterized. The transcript has 3 exons. Lineage: Eukaryota; Viridiplantae; Streptophyta; Magnoliopsida; Malvales; Malvaceae. The record is from RefSeq and is a predicted model, not a curated record.